RNAcentral lists this non-coding RNA (30 nucleotides) under Homo sapiens (human). Lineage: Eukaryota; Metazoa; Chordata; Mammalia; Primates; Hominidae. The record is from RNAcentral.
UGUGAUUGCACCACUGCACUCCAGCCUGGU